GGCGAACGCUGGCGGCGUGCUUAACACAUGCAAGUCGAACGGAAAGGCCCUGCUUUUGUGGGGUGCUCGAGUGGCGAACGGGUGAGUAACACGUGAGUAACCUGCCCUUGACUUUGGGAUAACUUCAGGAAGCUGGGGCUAAUACCGGAUAGGAGCUCCUGCUGCAUGGUGGGGGUUGGAAAGUUUCGGCGGUUGGGGAUGGACUCGCGGCUUAUCAGCUUGUUGGUGGGGUAGUGGCUUACCAAGGCUUUGACGGGUAGCCGGCCUGAGAGGGUGACCGGCCACAUUGGGACUGAGAUACGGCCCAGACUCCUACGGGAGGCAGCAGUGGGGAAUAUUGCACAAUGGGCGGAAGCCUGAUGCAGCAACGCCGCGUGCGGGAUGACGGCCUUCGGGUUGUAAACCGCUUUCGCCUGUGACGAAGCGUGAGUGACGGUAAUGGGUAAAGAAGCACCGGCUAACUACGUG
Molecule: ribosomal RNA, 468 nt
Filed under: uncultured bacterium
Lineage: Bacteria
Description: partial 16S ribosomal RNA
Rfam family: Bacterial small subunit ribosomal RNA
Source: RNAcentral